AAGCGGCUGGCACCCGUCCACAACUGCCAGAAUCUCGGGCCCUCGGGCCCGCAGAAACCCCGCGAAAGAAGUGCAUUACUCUGUUAUGCGAAGUUGGGCGAGAGGCGUCUCGCCGGAUUCCCCCCCGACGCGUCACGCGUCGGGGGGGGAUGCGAAUCAAAGCGUACCCCCCCAUUUUCAACCCCACCAAACUCUGAAUCUGAACUCGAAAGGGAGGCCUGGCUUCACGGCCGGCCGCCCUCAACCUUAUAACGUUGUAAAACUUUCAGCGACGGAUGUCUUGGCUCCCACAACGAUGAAGAACGCAGCGAAAUGCGAUACGUCUUGCGACUUGCAGAAUCCAGUGAAUCAUCAAAACUUUGAACGCACCUUGCGCUUCCGGGAUAUUCCUGGGAGCAUGCUUGUCGGAGUGUCUGUUGACACCACUCGCCCGCCUCUCUUUUUUUCCUUCCCCUAACCUGGAAGGCGACAAGGGGUGGCGAGCGGACUCUGCGUGUUCCGGAGCAACUCUCCGACGCCUUCAUUGCGCGUCGGGAAGACCCUCCGAGUGCACCUAAUCUCGUGAACGAAACCUCUCUUCUGCCCGCGGCCCUUGGGUUGCGCAGAGUUGUUGACGGCGCUCGUGCCCCUGUUCAUUUUACAGGGGUGCGGCGACUCUCGGCUCGAUCAAAAGCGCGACCCGGCGUCCUCCGUGGUGGAAAGAAAAGGGUGGUUUGUUGUUGUUUUUUUCCGGCGGGGCGGCCCCCGUGGCCGUCCCUCGGCGUUUUACUACUU
RNAcentral lists this unclassified non-coding RNA (774 nucleotides) under Desmarestia anceps. RNAcentral's name for it is "sequence contains ITS1". The stretch from base 261 to 415 matches the Rfam family "5.8S ribosomal RNA". Lineage: Eukaryota; Phaeophyceae; Desmarestiales; Desmarestiaceae. The record is from RNAcentral.